RNAcentral lists this small RNA (26 nucleotides) under Arabidopsis thaliana (thale cress). RNAcentral's name for it is "ATSL049480". The record is from RNAcentral. Lineage: Eukaryota; Viridiplantae; Streptophyta; Magnoliopsida; Brassicales; Brassicaceae.
UUCUUUCUUUAUUUUAUUUUUAUUUU